Molecule: unclassified non-coding RNA, 290 nt
Filed under: fungal sp.
Lineage: Eukaryota; Fungi
Description: partial internal transcribed spacer region
Source: RNAcentral
AAGUCGUAACAAUGUUACCGUAGGUGAACCUGCGGUACGAUCAUUCUUGCAAAGAUCUGACAACGCUUCGUUCUUGAGGGUAAUUCCGAUUCUCGAACGUUGUCAACUGGUAAAUUAACACUGUAAACUUAAAUAAAACAGGUGCCCAUGUAGGAUGGGUGAUGAGUCUAGCAAUAAGCGAGUUGCCCAUCCAUAGGCUGGCCCUGGGGGCUAUUAACUAACCAUAUCCAUGGCAUUGCCUUAGAACAUUAGAAUUAAAUAUAAUCUUAACAAUGAAUCUCUUGGCUCCU